CUGGGCAUGGUGGAAGAACCAGGGCUGCAUGUUUCCACCCUCUAGAGAGGGCAGAUGCCAUUGGAACUGGCAGCUGGAGCCCAAAGGUCACCUGUCCAGAGAAACUGACCAUCUGUUCUGAGUGGGUAGAGACCUUUCAUUGCCCUCUGAGAAGGGGACACAGGCUGAGGGUGGCUGGCAGGACAGGAAAAGACUCGUUACAAGCCAGGAAGAAGAUGUACUCUGGGAGCUUCAUCAACCAGCUUGCUCUUGGACUUCCAGUCUUCAGGAGCAUAGGAAGCAGUGAGCGUCCUGUUCUUUAAGCCACCAGCUCUCUGGAUUUUUGUAUAGCAGCACAAAAAGUCUAACAUUCAUGUGACACCAAUGCAGAAAACAGUUGAUGAAGUAUCCUGCAAAGAUGAUCUAGCUACACUGAAAAACAAGGUACAUGUUUUGAAAAAUUCUUAACUAUGAACUUUCACAAUCAAAGUACACUGUGGGUAAAAGUGGUUUCCACAAGCAUUUCACAAUAGGGACCAGGUUUUGUGCUUAUUACACAAGCAUUUCAAAAUAGUGUUCUUGAAUCCUGCUAGCGUCGUAUGCAAUGCUCGUGAGCCAAGAAUGAAGCUAUUAAUAAGUAAACUAAUAUAAUAAGACAAAUAGCAUUGGGUGUCAUGGCUCAUGCCUGCCUGUAAUUCCAGCACUAGAGAGCUGAGGUAGAUGGAUUGCUGUGAGUUCAAGGCUAGACUGGUCUACAUAGCAUGUUCCAGGCCAGCCUGGGCUACAAGCGUGAGACCCUGCCUCUAAAACAAAUAAGCAAACAAACAAAAAAAGAAGUAAAGUAAAGUAAACAGUGGGAAGAACCUGUUGAGUAGUUUGGAGCACAGGCUUCAGAUGGAGUGAAAUCAUGUUAGGUUUCCCCUCUGUAAACAUGGACCCUCAGGUACAGAGAAGCUAAGAAUGGAGGGCUAGCAUCAGACAUAAACUGACAUCAGGGCCUAAACUGAAACCUAAACUCAAGACUGAAGUGGUGGAUUCCAGCCGGCCAUGUGGAUUGUGACCGAGUGUCAGCAGAAAGAGUAACGGCACUCAAAAUAGAAAGUGUGAGCUACAAACUACAAAACCACUUGGGCCUCUAUGAAUGACCAAGUUGACUGAGGCCAAACCACAUGCAAAUCAGCUGCCGUCUGCUUCUUGUGUAACCGAGACGCGCCACACCGGAAAAGGAACUCGGAGGGUAGACUUUGUAUUGUGUUAAGGAGCCACUGAACUGGAGUGCUAGAGGCUCUCGGAGCAGUUAAAGUGAGAAAUGGUACAGAGUCAGUUUUACAGCCUGGAUGUUUGUACAUUCUGCCUUUCAUCCCCUCAACAAGUAUUUGGCCAUCACACUCCAUAUGCAAAGCAUUCAUGCUAAGCGCUGAGGCAGUUUUAGGAACAUGCACAUCAUGAUCAAA
Long non-coding RNA from Peromyscus eremicus (cactus mouse), 1433 nucleotides. RefSeq lists it as uncharacterized. Lineage: Eukaryota; Metazoa; Chordata; Mammalia; Rodentia; Cricetidae. The transcript has 2 exons. The record is from RefSeq and is a predicted model, not a curated record.